CCUACGGGGGGCAGCAGUGGGGAAUAUUGCACAAUGGGGGGAACCCUGAUGCAGCGACGCCGCGUGAAUGACGAAGUAUUUCGGUACGUAAAGCUCUAUCAGCAGGGAAGAAAAUAGGACGGUACCUGAGUAAGAAGCCCCGGCUAACUACGUGCAAGCAGCCGCGGUAAUACGUAGGGGGCAGGCGUUAUCCGGAAUUACUGGGUGUAAAGGGAGCGUAGACGGCAAUGCAAGGCCGGAGUGGAAUGCGGCAGCUCAACUGCCGAAAUGCUCUGGAAACUGUAUGGCUUGAGUGCAAGAGAGGUAAGCGGAAUUCCUGGUGUAGCGGUGAAAUGCGUAGAUAUCAGGAGGAACACCGUUGGCGAAGGCGGCAUACUGGACGGUAACGGACGUUGAGGCUCGAAAGCGUGGGGAGCAAACAGGAUUAGAUACCCCAGUAGUC
RNAcentral lists this ribosomal RNA (442 nucleotides) under uncultured bacterium. Its description in RNAcentral is "partial 16S ribosomal RNA". It matches the Rfam family "Bacterial small subunit ribosomal RNA", at positions 338 to 795 of the family's 1533-position model. The record is from RNAcentral.